RNAcentral lists this ribosomal RNA (948 nucleotides) under uncultured Arcobacter sp. RNAcentral describes it as "bacterial SSU rRNA". It matches the Rfam family "Bacterial small subunit ribosomal RNA", at positions 67 to 1024 of the family's 1533-position model. Lineage: Bacteria; Pseudomonadati; Campylobacterota; Epsilonproteobacteria; Campylobacterales; Arcobacteraceae. The record is from RNAcentral.
CGAGAACGGACUUAAGCUUGCUUAAGUUGUCAGCUAAGUGGCGCACGGGUGAGUAAUGUAUAGUUAACCUGCCCUCGAGAAAGGAAUAACAGAUGGAAACGUCUGCUAAUGCCCUAUAUGCCCAUAAUACAUAAGUAUGCUGGGGAAAUGCUUUAGUGCUCGAGGAUGGGACUGUAUGGUAUCAGAUAGUUGGUGAGGUAAUGGCUCACCAAGUCAAUGACGCCUAACUGGUUUGAGAGGAUGAUCAGUCACACUGGAACUGAGACACGGUCCAGACUCCUACGGGAGGCAGCAGUGGGGAAUAUUGCACAAUGGAGGAAACUCUGAUGCAGCAACGCCGCGUGGAGGAUGACACUUUUCGGAGCGUAAACUCCUUUUAUAUAGGAAGAUAAUGACGGUACUAUAUGAAUAAGCACCGGCUAACUCCGUGCCAGCAGCCGCGGUAAUACGGAGGGUGCAAGCGUUACUCGGAAUCACUGGGCGUAAAGAGCGUGUAGGCGGGUUAUUAAGUCAGAAGUGAAAUCCUAUGGCUCAACCAUAGAACUGCUUUUGAAACUGGUAACCUAGAGUAUGGGAGAGGUAGAUGGAAUUUCUGGUGUAGGGGUAAAAUCCGUAGAGAUCAGAAGGAAUACCGAUUGCGAAGGCGAUCUACUGGAACAUUACUGACGCUGAGACGCGAAAGCGUGGGGAGCAAACAGGAUUAGAUACCCUGGUAGUCCACGCCCUAAACGAUGUACACUAGUUGUUGCCAUGCUAGACAUGGCAGUAAUGCAGUUAACACAUUAAGUGUACCGCCUGGGGAGUACGGUCGCAAGAUUAAAACUCAAAGGAAUAGACGGGGACCCGCACAAGCGGUGGAGCAUGUGGUUUAAUUCGACGAUACGCGAAGAACCUUACCUGGACUUGACAUUUACAGAACUUUCAAGAGAUUGAUUGGGUCUGCUUGCA